CAGAGAAAUUUUUGUAUACGCGCACGGCCCGCGAGUCUCGCAACCGCCACCGGCGCCUUUGGUUCGGCUAUAAAUAGUUGGGUGCUGGGAGGGCAAGCUCCUCACUGCCAGCCAGACGUUUCCAAGCCAUUAGUUGUUGGUAGCACACAAGCUAAGCUUUAGAUAACCUUCUUCUUCUUCCUGCUUCUGUCUCGAAGGCAGCUUCGGAGCUCGGAGCGCCCAGCCAGCAAUGGCCAUUGCCGGUGCUCUUUUCCUCCUGCUCGGUCUCCUCGCCGGGGAAGCCGCGGCGGGCGGCUACGGCGGGUGGCAGAGCGCGCACGCCACGUUCUACGGCGGCGGCGACGCGUCCGGCACAAUGGGCGGCGCGUGCGGGUACGGCAACCUGUACAGCACCGGGUACGGCACGAACACGGCGGCGCUGAGCACGGCGCUGUUCAACGACGGCGCGGCGUGCGGGUCCUGCUACGAGCUGCGGUGCGACAACGCCGGGCGGUCGUGCCUGCCGGGCACCAUCACCGUGACGGCCACCAACUUCUGCCCUCCCAACUACGGCCUCCCCAGCGACGACGGCGGCUGGUGCAACCCGCCGCGGCCGCACUUCGACAUGGCCGAGCCCGCCUUCCUCCACAUCGCGCAGUACCGCGCCGGCAUCGUGCCCGUCGCCUUCAGGAGAGUGCCGUGCGUGAAGAAGGGCGGCAUCCGGUUCACCAUCAACGGGCACUCCUACUUCAACCUGGUGCUGGUGACCAACGUGGCGGGCGCGGGGGACGUGCGGUCCGUCUCCAUCCGGGGCUCGCGGACGGGGUGGCAGCCCAUGUCGCGGAACUGGGGCCAGAACUGGCAGAGCAACGCGGACCUGGACGGGCAGGCGCUGUCGUUCCAGGUCACCGCCAGCGACGGCCGCACCGUCACCAGCAACAACGCCGCCCCCGCCGGAUGGCAGUUCGGCCAGACCUUCGAGGGCGCCCAGUUCUGAUUUCUGAACGAACUUCUUCUGAUCGUCGAUGAAGUGGACGAUUAGUCAGUCAGUCAGUCAAUUAAUUAAUUACGCAAGGAGCGGAAGCCCCAACCCCUCUACAGCUAUGCUGGCCUCAUCGACAGAUUGGUGGAAGGGGAAGAACAAUCAGCCAGGAGCAUGUGUACAGAUUGAUGGAAGGGGAAGAACAAUCAGCCAGGAGCAUGUGUUAUAGCACCGGUGACACGCUCACACGAGGUACUCUCUAGACAUAUCCCCAAAUCCAUCCUCCCUUGGUGAGUUUUGUUUGAUCUGUUCUUCUUUUCCCCUUUUCAGAAGAGAAUUUGGAUCUGUUCUUCAAUAUAUUUGCAUUUCACCUUUUAAUUUGUGAGAGGCAUUCAAAUAAUAAUUUUUGUUUCAUCCCUGGAUUUGUUCCUGAACUGUACUCUUUCCUUGUAGAUACCAUGCACUUCCCAUUUUGCAAUCUCGUGAACAGCAGUUCAAGCUCU
RNA transcript from Sorghum bicolor (sorghum), 1464 nucleotides. It is a transcript of the gene named expansin-A4, with no coding region annotated. The record is from RefSeq and is a predicted model, not a curated record. Lineage: Eukaryota; Viridiplantae; Streptophyta; Magnoliopsida; Poales; Poaceae. The transcript has 4 exons.